GGCCCGGCCGAAACGUAGAUUUUGUAUAUUCACGUUUUUCAACUAUUAAAUUUCUUCUUCUUCCUGACCGGAACUUCGACGAACCUUUCAUUUUCAAUCUACCUCCCGGUCACAAAUUUCUUUCCUAAACACAAUGCAUCGAAACGGCUUCGUGGACGUCUCGUACCACCGUCAUCCUACGUCAUACCGAACUUCAAAUCACUCACAAACCAAGAAGAUCUGGAACUACCGGCAAAAACUAGCACGCAUCAAAAACCAUUUUAUUUCCUGAGGAUGGUCGGCAGGGCCCGGCCGAAACGUAGAUUUUGUAUAUUCACGUUUUUCAACUAUUAAAUUUCUUCUUCUUCCUGACCGGAACUUCGACGAACCUUUCAUUUUCAAUCUACCUCCCGGUCACAAAUUUCUUUCCUAAACACAAUGCAUCGAAACGGCUUCGUGGACGUCUCGUACCACCGUCAUCCUACGUCAUACCGAACUUCAAAUCACUCACAAACCAAGAAGAUCUGGAACUACCGGCAAAAACUAGCACGCAUCAAAAACCAUUUUAUUUCCUGAGGAUGGUCGGCAGGGCCCGGCCGAAACGUAGAUUUUGUAUAUUCACGUUUUUCAACUAUUAAAUUUCUUCUUCUUCCUGACCGGAACUUCGACGAACCUUUCAUUUUCAAUCUACCUCCCGGUCACAAAUUUCUUUCCUAAACACAAUGCAUCGAAACGGCUUCGUGGACGUCUCGUACCACCGUCAUCCUACGUCAUACCGAACUUCAAAUCACUCACAAACCAAGAAGAUCUGGAACUACCGGCAAAAACUAGCACGCAUCAAAAACCGUAAGGUGUUCCUCCUUAAAUGCCGCCAAUUUGGAAUUAUUCCAAAUUUUCUAAAUUUUAAAAUCAAAAACCUUCAACAUUUAAAAAGUGAAAAAACUUUCAUCAAAGCAUUACGCGUUUUUCAACAAAAGUGUCUGUCGCUUGAAAUUAAAACAUGU
This 983-nucleotide long non-coding RNA is filed under the name Neodiprion pinetum (white pine sawfly). RNAcentral's name for it is "uncharacterized LOC124218912". Lineage: Eukaryota; Metazoa; Arthropoda; Insecta; Hymenoptera; Diprionidae. The record is from RNAcentral.